GAUGAACGCUGGCGGCGUGCCUAACACAUGCAAGUCGAACGAAGCACUUUUUUACGAUCCCUUCGGGGUGACGAAUUUGUGACUGAGUGGCGGACGGGUGAGUAACGCGUGGGAAACCUGCCUUGUACCGGGGGAUAGCAGUUGGAAACGACUGAUAAUACCGCAUAAGCGCACAGUAUCACAUGAUACAGUGUGAAAAACUCCGGUGGUACAAGAUGGUCCCGCGUCUGAUUAGCUUGUUGGCGGGGUAAUGGCCCACCAAGGCGACGAUCAGUAGCCGACCUGAGAGGGUGACCGGCCACAUUGGGACUGAGACACGGCCCAAACUCCUACGGGAGGCAGCAGUGGGGAAUAUUGCACAAUGGGGGAAACCCUGAUGCAGCGACGCCGCGUGAGUGAUGAAGUAUCUCGGUAUGUAAAGCUCUAUCAGCAGGGAAGAUAAUGACGGUACCUGACUAAGAAGCACCGGCUAAAUACGUGCCAGCAGCCGACGG
RNAcentral lists this ribosomal RNA (494 nucleotides) under uncultured bacterium. Its description in RNAcentral is "bacterial SSU rRNA". It matches the Rfam family "Bacterial small subunit ribosomal RNA", at positions 28 to 520 of the family's 1533-position model. The record is from RNAcentral.